This 301-nucleotide ribosomal RNA is filed under the name uncultured bacterium. Its description in RNAcentral is "partial 16S ribosomal RNA". It matches the Rfam family "Bacterial small subunit ribosomal RNA", at positions 509 to 808 of the family's 1533-position model. The record is from RNAcentral.
CAGCCGCCGCGGUAAUACGUAGGUGGCAAGCGUUGUCCGGAAUUAUUGGGCGUAAAAGGCUCGCAGGCGGUUUCUUAAGUCUGAUGUGAAAGCCCCCGGCUCAACCGGGGAGGGUCAUUGGAAACUGGGAAACUUGAGUGCAGAAGAGGAGAGUGGAAUUCCACGUGUAGCGGUGAAAUGCGUAGAGAUGUGGAGGAACACCAGUGGCGAAGGCGACUCUCUGGUCUGUAACUGACGCUAGGGAGCGAAAGCGUGGGGAGCGAACAGGAUUAGAUACCCCAGUAGUCCCUGUCUCUUUACA